Molecule: long non-coding RNA, 399 nt
Filed under: Meleagris gallopavo (turkey)
Lineage: Eukaryota; Metazoa; Chordata; Aves; Galliformes; Phasianidae
Description: lncRNA (ENSMGAG00000018659.1)
Source: RNAcentral
AUGCUUCUUCAAGACCUUGGAGGACGUUUCCCAGGUACCAUAGCCAGGUUGAAGAGCCCGACGAAUCCACCAUCACGGGACGCUGUUGCCUGUACAUACCUGCUGCCAUCAGUACAAAGGCGCUCAGGCAACCCAGAGGACCCAGAGCCAGCCGUUGCCGCCCCUUCCACACACAAAGGGGAAAGAACAGCCCCGAAGCCCCCAGCCAGCAGCGGCCGCACCUCGCCGUGCGGCGCUGCGCCCUUGGCGACCAGGAGGUGGCGCCUCAGCACCGCAGCCGGAGGCGGGCACGGCCCCGCUGGGCUCCCGGGCCUCACUCUUUCGGUUCUUUCUGUCCCUGCAAUGAACUUAGAACAGUUCUUACUUGUCUUUGACUUCAUAUUUUCUUUACCCGGAUAA